CCAUGGAAACCAAAGUAAUGGAAGCAGGGGAGAGAGAAUUGGCUUUGACGCUACAGAGAUGGGAACCCAGCGUCUCUAGCUGUGAUGAUGUGUGCCACGUGGAGAAAACAGGCCUGAUGUACAAGAGAAUGAAGCCAACACCGACCAAACAACAGUAAUAAAAGAUGGAGAGACAGAAUCUCGGUAUCAUCAAGUCACUGGUUCAUUUGUGAGUUUCACACAUUCCCACAGCUCAUCUUUAUGCUCUCAGAUAGCCCAGUGUCUUACCAAG
This 271-nucleotide long non-coding RNA is filed under the name Fukomys damarensis (Damara mole-rat). RNAcentral describes it as "lncRNA (ENSFDAG00000024133.1)". The record is from RNAcentral. Lineage: Eukaryota; Metazoa; Chordata; Mammalia; Rodentia; Bathyergidae.